CAGAAAGUAGUUUAAAAUAAAACACUAGUUUUGGGGAUUAGGAAUGGGCUUAGUUUCUUUCUGA
RNAcentral lists this transfer RNA (64 nucleotides) under Damon diadema. RNAcentral's name for it is "tRNA-Pro". Lineage: Eukaryota; Metazoa; Arthropoda; Arachnida; Amblypygi; Phrynichidae. The record is from RNAcentral.